GGUGGUUCAGUGGUAGAGCACUUGCCUUGCAUGCAUGAGGUCCUGGGUUCGAUUCCUCAGCACCA
This 65-nucleotide transfer RNA is filed under the name Dipodomys ordii (Ord's kangaroo rat). It matches the Rfam family "tRNA". Rfam says of the family: Transfer RNA (tRNA) molecules are approximately 80 nucleotides in length. Their secondary structure includes four short double-helical elements and three loops (D, anti-codon, and T loops). Further hydrogen bonds mediate the characteristic L-shaped molecular structure. tRNAs have two regions of fundamental functional importance: the anti-codon, which is responsible for specific mRNA codon recognition, and the 3' end, to which the tRNAs corresponding amino acid is attached (by aminoacyl-tRNA synthetases). tRNAs cope with the degeneracy of the genetic code in two manners: having more than one tRNA (with a specific anti-codon) for a particular amino acid; and 'wobble' base-pairing, i.e. permitting non-standard base-pairing at the 3rd anti-codon position. Lineage: Eukaryota; Metazoa; Chordata; Mammalia; Rodentia; Heteromyidae. The record is from Rfam by way of RNAcentral.